GAUGAACGCUGGCGGCGUGCCUAAUACAUGCAAGUCGAGCGAACAGACGAGGAGCUUGCUCCUCUGACGUUAGCGGCGGACGGGUGAGUAACACGUGGAUAACCUACCUAUAAGACUGGGAUAACUUCGGGAAACCGGAGCUAAUACCGGAUAAUAUAUUGAACCGCAUGGUUCAAUAGUGAAAGACGGUUUCGCUGUCACUUAUAGAUGGAUCCGCGCCGCAUUAGCUAGUUGGUAAGGUAACGGCUUACCAAGGCAACGAUGCGUAGCCGACCUGAGAGGGUGAUCGGCCACACUGGAACUGAGACACGGUCCAGACUCCUACGGGAGGCAGCAGUAGGGAAUCUUCCGCAAUGGGCGAAAGCCUGACGGAGCAACGCCGCGUGAGUGAUGAAGGUCUUCGGACCGUAAAACUCUGUUAUUAGGGAAGAACAAAUGUGUAAGUAACUAUGCACGUCUUGACGGUACCUAAUCAGAAAGCCACGGCUAACUACGUG
Molecule: ribosomal RNA, 497 nt
Filed under: uncultured bacterium
Lineage: Bacteria
Description: partial 16S ribosomal RNA
Rfam family: Bacterial small subunit ribosomal RNA
Source: RNAcentral